UACGUAGGUGGCAAGCGUUGUCCGGAUUUAUUGGGUUUAAAGGGUGCGUAGGCGGCCCCAUAAGUCAGUGCUGAAAUAUCCCGGCUUAACCGGGAGGGUGGCAUUGAUACUGUGGGGCUUGAGUAAAGUUGAGGUUGGCGGAAUUGACGGUGUAGCGGUGAAAUGCUUAGAUAUCGUCAAGAACACCGAUAGUGUAGACAGCUAACUAAGCUUUAACUGUCGCUGAGGCACGAAAGUGUGGGGAUCAAACAGG
This 253-nucleotide ribosomal RNA is filed under the name uncultured Ohtaekwangia sp. RNAcentral's name for it is "partial 16S ribosomal RNA". It matches the Rfam family "Bacterial small subunit ribosomal RNA", at positions 524 to 776 of the family's 1533-position model. Lineage: Bacteria; Pseudomonadati; Bacteroidota; Cytophagia; Cytophagales; Fulvivirgaceae. The record is from RNAcentral.